UACGAAGGUCCCAAGCGUUAUCCGGAUUCACUGGGUUUAAAGGGUGCGUAGGUGGAGUGGUAAGUCAGUGGUGAAAUCUCCAAGCUUAACUUGGAAACUGCCGUUGAUACUAUCAUUCUUGAAUAUCGUGGAGGUAAGCGGAAUAUGUCAUGUAGCGGUGAAAUGCUUAGAUAUGACAUAGAACACCGAUUGCGAAGGCAGCUUGCUACACGAUCAUUGACACUGAGGCACGAAAGCGUGGGGAUCAAACAGG
RNAcentral lists this ribosomal RNA (253 nucleotides) under uncultured bacterium. Its description in RNAcentral is "partial 16S ribosomal RNA". It matches the Rfam family "Bacterial small subunit ribosomal RNA", at positions 524 to 776 of the family's 1533-position model. The record is from RNAcentral.